Molecule: ribosomal RNA, 268 nt
Filed under: uncultured prokaryote
Description: partial 16S ribosomal RNA
Rfam family: Bacterial small subunit ribosomal RNA
Source: RNAcentral
UACGGGGGGGCUAGCGUUGUUCGGAAUUAUUGGGCGUAAAGGGCGCGUAGGCGGCCGAGCCAGUCCAAGGUGAAAUCCCCCGGCUCAACCGGGGAACUGCCUCGGAUACUGCUUGGCUUGAGUCCCGGAGAGGGUAGCGGAAUUCCCAGUGUAGCGGUGAAAUGCGUAGAUACUGGGAGGAACACCAGUGGCGAAGGCGGCUACCUGGACGGGUACUGACGCUGAGGCGCGAAAGCGUGGGGAGCAAACAGGAUUAGAUACCCGCGUA